UACGGAGGAUCCAAGCGUUAUCCGGAUUUAUUGGGCUUAAAGGGUGCGUAGGUGGGUUAUUACGUCAGUGGUGAAAGCCUGCAGCUUAACUGCAGAAUUGCCAUUGAUACUGAUAGUCUUGAGUAUAGUUGAGGUGGGCGGAAUGUGUCAUGUAGCGGUGAAAUGCUUAGAUAUGACACAGAACACCGAUUGCGUAGGCAGCUCGCUAAACUAUAACUGACACUGAGGCACGAAAGCGUGGGGAGCAAACAGG
This 253-nucleotide ribosomal RNA is filed under the name uncultured bacterium. RNAcentral describes it as "partial 16S ribosomal RNA". It matches the Rfam family "Bacterial small subunit ribosomal RNA", at positions 524 to 776 of the family's 1533-position model. The record is from RNAcentral.